RNAcentral lists this ribosomal RNA (465 nucleotides) under uncultured bacterium. RNAcentral's name for it is "bacterial SSU rRNA". It matches the Rfam family "Bacterial small subunit ribosomal RNA", at positions 33 to 507 of the family's 1533-position model. The record is from RNAcentral.
GAGACACGCUGGCGGCGUGCUUAACACAUGCAAGUCGAGCGGUAAGGCUCCUUCGGGAGUACACGGGCGGCGAACGGGUGAGUAACACGUGAGUAACCUGCCCCUUUCAUCGGAAUAACCAGUGGAAACGCUGGCUAAUGCCGAAUACGACCACCGAAGGCAUCUUCUGGUGGUGGAAAGCUCCGGCGGAAAGGGAUGGACUCGCGGCCUAUCAGCUUGUUGGUGAGGUAAUGGCUCACCAAGGCAACGACGGGUAGCCGGCCUGAGAGGGUGACCGGCCACACUGGGACUGAGACACGGCCCAGACUCCUACGGGAGGCAGCAGUGGGGAAUAUUGGACAAUGGGCGAAAGCCUGAUCCAGCAACGCCGCGUGAGGGAUGACGGCCUUCGGGUUGUAAACCUCUUUCAGUAGGGACGAAGCGAAAGUGACGGUACCUACAGAAGAAGGACCGGCCAACUACGUG